Molecule: ribosomal RNA, 429 nt
Filed under: Actinomycetes bacterium
Lineage: Bacteria; Bacillati; Actinomycetota; Actinomycetes
Description: Actinobacteria bacterium partial 16S ribosomal RNA
Rfam family: Bacterial small subunit ribosomal RNA
Source: RNAcentral
UAGGGAAUCUUCCGCAAUGGGCGAAAGCUUGACGGAGCAACGCCGCGUGAGUGAUGAAGGUCUUCGGAUCGUAAAACUCUGUUAUUAGGGAAGAACAAAUGUGUAAGUAACUAUGCACGUCUUGACGGUACCUAAUCAGAAAGCCACGGCUAACUACGUGCCAGCAGCCGCGGUAAUACGUAGGUGGCAAGCGUUAUCCGGAAUUAUUGGGCGUAAAGCGCGCGUAGGCGGUUUUUUAAGUCUGAUGUGAAAGCCCACGGCUCAACCGUGGAGGGUCAUUGGAAACUGGAAAACUUGAGUGCAGAAGAGGAAAGUGGAAUUCCAUGUGUAGCGGUGAAAUGCGCAGAGAUAUGGAGGAACACCAGUGGCGAAGGCGACUUUCUGGUCUGUAACUGACGCUGAUAUGCGAAAGCGUGGGGAUCAAACAGG